CGUGUAGGCGGCCUCUUAAGUCUGGUGUGAAAGCCCGGGGCUUACCCCCGGAAGGGCACUGGAAACUGGAAGGCUAGAGUACCGGAGAGGAGGGUGGAAUUCCUGGUGUAGCGGUGAAAUGCGUAGAUAUCAGGAGGAACACCGGUGGCGAAGGCGGCCCUCUGGACGGAUACUGACGCUGAGACGCGAAAGCGUGGGGAGCAAACAGGAUUAGAUACCCUGGUAGUCCACGCUGUAAACGAUGGGCACUAGGUGUUCGGGGUAUUGACCCCCUGAGUGCCGCAGCUAACGCAUUAAGUGCCCCGCCUGGGGACUACGGCCGCAAGGUUAAA
RNAcentral lists this ribosomal RNA (332 nucleotides) under uncultured bacterium. RNAcentral's name for it is "bacterial SSU rRNA". It matches the Rfam family "Bacterial small subunit ribosomal RNA", at positions 568 to 898 of the family's 1533-position model. The record is from RNAcentral.